Long non-coding RNA from Lepus europaeus (European hare), 668 nucleotides. RefSeq lists it as uncharacterized. Lineage: Eukaryota; Metazoa; Chordata; Mammalia; Lagomorpha; Leporidae. The transcript is spliced from 6 exons. The record is from RefSeq and is a predicted model, not a curated record.
ACGGCGAGGAAGGAUGCAGCGGCGGUGGUAGCGACUCUAUGAGACGUCCGGCUGCCAUUGGCGAUCAGCAAGGAAGCCCAGAUAGAGUUAGUGAGAGAGACAGAGAGAAAGGUCUUCCUUCCAUGUGACAUUUUUAAUACAACGUGGAUUUUCAUAAGGAUGAUAUGCUAAGAAUGAACUGAAGUGACAUGUGUGACCUCACCUCAUACAUUUCAUGAAUGACUUGGAAAAGGUAUAAAGGAGAAUAAAACAAGAUGCUAGAAAUUUAAUACUGGCUAACAAGAGUGACACUUUGGAAAACAAAAUGAGUAUAAAGAAAAAAUGACCAUAACAUACAACAUCUCUUUCAAGACUCCUGGUGAUUAACUAUAUUUAUUUGAAAGCCUGGAUAGGGGCUGGCAUUGUGGCAUAGCAGGGAUUCUAUAGGAAAUCGUCACCAAUUUGGUGGGGAGGGAGCACAUCCUGAGGACACAAGUGGGUUUUCAGGACACCUGCCAGAAGCACGGAUGAUGGGAAUGCGCAGUAGCCAGACGUCGGUUUGUCCUCACUGCAGACAUUCUUGUCCUGCCACCCGACUCCAGCAUGAAUGUCUUUUCACUCUCUAUCAGAUCAAGUGUACAAAAGUUUUUAAUUUUAAUAAAGUCAAAUUUAUUUAUAUUUCAAGUAAA